RNAcentral lists this ribosomal RNA (244 nucleotides) under uncultured bacterium. RNAcentral describes it as "partial 16S ribosomal RNA". It matches the Rfam family "Bacterial small subunit ribosomal RNA", at positions 90 to 334 of the family's 1533-position model. The record is from RNAcentral.
ACUGAGUGGCGGACGGGUGAGUAACGCGUGGGUAACCUGCCUCAUACAGGGGGAUAACAGUUAGAAAUGACUGCUAAUACCGCAUAAGACCACAGUACCGCAUGGUGCAGGGGUAAAAACUCCGGUGGUAUGAGAUGGACCCGCGUCUGAUUAGGUAGUUGGUGGGGUAACGGCCUACCAAGCCGACGAUCAGUAGCCGACCUGAGAGGGUGACCGGCCACAUUGGGACUGGGACACGGCCCAA